This 453-nucleotide ribosomal RNA is filed under the name uncultured bacterium. RNAcentral's name for it is "bacterial SSU rRNA". It matches the Rfam family "Bacterial small subunit ribosomal RNA", at positions 354 to 796 of the family's 1533-position model. The record is from RNAcentral.
GUGGGGAAUAUUGCGCAAUGGGCGAAAGCCUGACGCAGCGACGCCGCGUGAGUGAUGAAGGCCUUCGGGUCGUAAAGCUCUGUGGGACGGGAACGAAAAAGCCUGGGGAACAAUACCCUCAGGCUGUGACGGUACUCGUCCAGAAAGCACCGGCCAACUCCGUGCCAGCAGCCGCGGUAAUACGGAGGGUGCAAGCGUUGUUCGGAAUCAUUGGGCGUAAAGGGCGUGUAGGCGGGGUGGCAUGUCGGUUGUGAAAGCCCUCGGCUUAACCGAGGAAAUGCGUCCGAAACUGCCAUUCUUGAGUCCGGGAGAGGGAAGCGGAAUUUCCAGUGUAGUGGUGAAAUACGUAGAUAUUGGAAGGAACACCGGUGGCGAAGGCGGCUUCCUGGACCGGUACUGACGCUGAGACGCGAAAGCGUGGGGAGCAAACAGGAUUAGAAACCCCAGUAGUCC